RNAcentral lists this ribosomal RNA (461 nucleotides) under uncultured bacterium. RNAcentral's name for it is "SSU rRNA". It matches the Rfam family "Bacterial small subunit ribosomal RNA", at positions 26 to 518 of the family's 1533-position model. The record is from RNAcentral.
AGAAUCAACGCUGGCGGCGUGCCUAACACAUGCAAGUCGCACGAGAAAGGGGAGCAAUCCCUGAGUACAGUGGCGCACGGGUGAGUAACACGUGAAUAAUCUACCUCCGAGUGGGGAAUAAACUGAGAGAAAUCUUAGCUAAUACCGCAUAACACUUACGAGUCAAAGCAGCAAUGCGCUUGGAGAGGAGUUCGCGGCAGAUUAGUUAGUUGGCGGGGUAAUGGCCCACCAAGACGAUGAUCUGUAUCCGGCCUGAGAGGGCGCACGGACACACUGGGAACUGAAACACGGUCCAGACUCCUACGGGAGGCAGCAGUGGGGAAUUUUGCGCAAUGGGGGAAACCCUGACGCAGCAACGCCGCGUGGAGGAUGAAGCCCCUUGGGGUGUAAACUCCUUUCGAUCGGGAAGAUAAUGACGGUACCGAUAUAAGAAGCCCGGCUAACUUCGCGCCAGCAGCCGC